Molecule: RNA transcript, 2835 nt
Organism: Drosophila rhopaloa
Lineage: Eukaryota; Metazoa; Arthropoda; Insecta; Diptera; Drosophilidae
Gene name: trehalase
Exons: 7
Source: RefSeq, a predicted model, not a curated record
AGAAGUAUUCUUGCGCUGACUGGCGCUGGUUGUGCUUGUGCUCAGAUCGAAUUUGGGGCUCGCUAGCAUAUCCUGUAAGCGAAAGGAUAUACCUCAGCAACGCAACAUUUUGUAUUGUCAUCCCAGCAGAUUGAAAAACAGAUAAAUUAACAGCAAAUAAGUGAAAGGAUUUAAUUAAGUGCUAUGUUAAAGUCAGCGAAUAUCAAAUUGCUCCUUGUGAGCUGGAGUUGCCUGGCAGCUCUGUCGCAGGCAAAGUCCUAUGGUUCCCCAGAUCUCGACAUAGACAAUGACAAUUCCAUUGCCACUAUUGAGUCGACAGUGGAUCCGUUUGAAAGUUGUAAAAUCUACUGCAAUGGCACUCUACUGCACACCAUCCAAAUGGCUAAACCUCCACUGUUCUCGGAUUCAAAAACGUUUGUGGACAUGACACUUAAGUACUCGCCCGAUAAGACCCUUGAGGACUUUAAUGCGAUGAUGGAGGCCAAAAACCAACAGCCCAGCAGAGAAGACCUGAAGAAUUUCAUCAAAGAAUACUUCGGUGACAAAGGCACCGAACUAGAAUCUUGGGUGCCCUCGGACUGGAAAGAGAAUCCCAGCUUCGUAGAUCGCAUUUCUGACCCAGAUCUAAAGCAGUGGGGUGUGCAGCUAAAUGACAUUUGGAAGAAACUGGGCCGCAAAAUGAAGGACGAUGUGAUAAAGAGCCCUCAGAACUACUCUAUCAUCCCAGUGCCUAAUCCGGUGAUUGUGCCCGGAGGUCGUUUCAUCGAAUUCUACUACUGGGAUUCCUACUGGAUCAUCAGGGGACUUCUCUAUAGCGAGAUGUACUCCACCGCCCGCGGCAUGAUUGAGAACUUCCUGUCUAUCGUCGAAAGGAUCGGCUUCAUUCCGAACGGCGGACGAGUGUACUAUCAUGGUCGCUCCCAGCCGCCACUUCUGACUGGGAUGGUCAAGUCGUAUGUGGACUUCACCAACGAUGACCAGUUUGCCAUUAACGCCUUGAAGCUUUUGGAGCACGAGUUCAAUUUCUUCUUAAACAACCGUGCGGUGUCCGUCAACAAUCACACCCUGUGCAUCUACAGCGAUUCGUCGGAGGGUCCGCGGCCAGAGUCCUACAGUGAAGAUGUUAAUACCGCCGCUUCGUUCGACUCAGACGAAAAAAAGGAGCAUCUCUACACCCAGAUCAAGGCGGCGGCCGAAUCUGGAAUGGACUUUAGCACCCGCUGGUUCAUCUCUGAGGACGGAACCAACGCUGGAAAUCUUAGCAACCUUAGUACCACCAGUAUUGUACCCGUCGACCUGAAUGCCUAUAUGUUCUGGAACGCCAAACUGAUUGCCGAAUUUUACUCAAAGGCCGGCAACAUCAAGAAGGUGACCGAGUACGAGGAAAAGGCUGGGGAGUUUUUACUGGGCAUCCAAGAAGUGCUGUGGAACGAGGAGGCCGGGUGCUGGCUGGAUUAUGAUAUAGAGAACAAAAAGUCGCGCAACUAUUUUGUGCCCACCAAUCUUUCACCGCUGUGGGUAAAGGCCUACAAUAUUUCAGAUUCUGAAAAUAUCUCGGCUAAAAUUAUGGCCUACAUUGAGAAGAACAAGCUGGACACAUAUCCUGGCGGAGUUCCCAACACGUUAGCCGCUCAAAAUGAGCAGUGGGACUUCCCCAAUGUGUGGGCGCCAAUGCAGUACAUCUUGGUCGAAGGCCUAAACAACCUGAACACUCCCGAGGCAAAGAAUAUGUCAAUGAAGUGGGCCACCCGCUGGGUGAAGUCAAACUUUAAGGCUUAUACCGACCACCUCGACAUGUACGAGAAGUACGAUGCCCAGGUUUUCGGAGGACAUGGCACAGGAGGCGAGUACGACGUGCAAACGGGCUUCGGCUGGUCCAACGGAGUGAUCAUCGAGUGGCUGAGCAAGCACGGGCGCGAUAUUUCGACAGGCUCGGGAAGUGGCGCAUCAGGUGAAAAGCUGCAAUAGAAUGAAUCUGUAGACAGGCCAGAACGCUAGCCAUCAAAAAUCAUCGUCAGCAUCAUCACAGGCUCAAAGCCAAAGCUUUAAAAAAAAAAUUGUAUUUAGUUAUUUGUAAACGAUAGGCAUCCAUCCAGAAGCGCUCAUCAACUGCUCAUCCUUAGGCUAAGAAAACGCUCUUUCUCCGCAAUAUCUAUCCCUAAAUACGCCGCUGUCUAUAACCUAUAUCUGUACCGCGAACCAUCGAAAUCCCGAGACAAGCACUACGAACCACAGCACCACAGUCACAGCACCGCCAGGAAUCAGGAUCCGAUGUCCGCCAUCCAUCGAGCAUCUCUGUACUGUCUGUUAUCCAUGUAUUCCACGUCCAGUCCACGUUUGCACAUUCGUGUGACUUGUCCAAAUUCAAGAAAGAAUCAAAAAGAACAUUAAAUGUCUCAAAGCAGUCACAGCGUCGCGAUCAAUUUAAGGAUUCACGACUUCUCGUGUGAUGAGCGUUGUGGGCGUGGCAGCCGUUACCAUUGUAGCUCUGAUAGCAGGUCGUGUUUUAUGGUGAGACACUCUGUGCCAAACAACCCGUAAUUGCUUCCCAAGUAAUGUGAUUCCCCCUGUGUGUGUAUAGUGUCUGUAAUUGUUCAAGUUUUUCGUUGAAUGCGGAGAUUGCAGUAUUAGAUUAUCAUUAUCUGGUAGUUGAAGUGAGAGUUGUACAUACUGAAUUUACAUGGGCAUGCCCAACAUUGUUAUUACGUUUUAAUAUUUAGCAAAUACCUAAACCAAUCCUAGCUCCUCGCAACCAAAUGAAGACACAAAUACAAUUGUUAACAAUAAUUUACAAACUUUUUCUUAGUAUUUUUAAAUAAACAAAAACACUAAAUA